CCUGUCUUCCUGUGUAAGAUGCAGGGAAUUGAGCAGCUGGGCCAGAGUCCAAGGUAUACUCCAACCCGGACGCAAACAGAUUUGGGGAAAGAACCUGUGCUCACCACCUCUCAGAAAACCACCUUCCCUUUUUCUUCAGUUAAAAAAGUUCAGCUAAUUUUGUUUGUCAGUCUGCUCUUUCCAUUUCUGGGCAAUGGUGUGCUUCCUGCUUUUAACUACGUGGGCAGCUUAAGCUGCCUGAACCCUGGCGAGGAUGCUUGUGGCUUGUCAGGCACAGACAGAGUCUGCAGAGGAGAAGUCUCCAAAAGUUUGUAUGUAGAGAGGUUUGCUGCAACCCGAGCUAAAUGUGAGUAAAUACGAGCUGAUGACUGAGGCUCUAGGAGGCUGGGGUGCAGGGCCUCUCGGGGCGAGAUUCAGCCCGUGGCCUGCCAGCCUCAAAGGUGUGCUCCGUAUGCGGUGAGGUCUGGGCUGGCUGGUGUUUGACGGUGAUUUAAUACACAGCUCUACACACUAAGAGACUUCAAUCAAUGUUGUUGACUGACUGCCUGACUGGCUUUGACCUCGCCUGAAAAGGGGUGAGGGUUGCUAAAUAAACUGAAGGUAUUAUCAUAAUAAUACCUGCUGACCAAGAACAUUGUCAAGAUGAAUGAGUUCUUUUUGAAGGGCAAAAUGUGCUUCUCUGAAGAAUGACACUAGAUGAAUACUAAAUGUAACAUCAUUUGAAUAGAACUUUAUAUUGCUUCAACCCUGCGCUGAUCACAAUAUCAGCUAGAGGUCUUCUGGAAAUGCAAACACUCUUGUUGAGAAAGUUCAGACAAAAUGUGACCUAUCUUGACACCAGCGGUUUGUUCGGCCUUUAUUAUCCUGGAAUCCUAAGAUGGAAUGGAUCUUGGAAGAUUGAACACGUUGUCACAUCCCCAAGGCCAAGACUGCCCCGAAAUCAUCUAGAGUGCCUUAAAAAUGAAAACUGGAAAGAAUAGUGGAACACUUGAUCAACAGACGAUUGUGAUGAUGUAAUGAGACUUAGGCAAAACUGAAUCUGCUCCUUCUUGAUCUUCUAAUUUUUAUUCUUUGGGAAUGGCGUCUUGGAAGAAGCUUAUCUUGAGGUAUGUGAACAAGACAACUAAAUUAUAGGAAGCUAAUUUCAUUUGUAUGUUGGAUACGUUUGGGAUUACAUCAAGGAAAGAGCAAUUUUUUUGGAUGUACUGAUUUAUAGCUCUCAACCGUUGACAUGUGUAGGUGACAGACAAGAAGACCGUUGUCUUCUCCCAAUCCAAGAUGCCACCAAGCAAAAGUUCCAUGGGAGGUUUUAAUGACUAGGUUACAGGACUAAAAACAAAAGCAUCAAGGACAACUCCAUGGCUUCCCUUACUGGCAAAAGACUUCCACAGACUGUUAAAAGUGGUCAUUGAUGUGUUGUUUUGCUGAGUUGUCCUGCUAAGCCUUUCUGGAUUGUUUCUAUUAGUAUCCCGUUUUCUGUGUUUUUAAUAGUUUUUUCAGAGAAAGGAUUUAAAAUGUUUCUUCUACAGCCCUUGAAACAAUCUGGCUUAUAUAUUCAGGUUAUUUAUUAAAAUGUGUCUUUUCAAACAGUCUAGUUGAUACAUUCAGGUUCUUUAUCCAAAGGUAUCAUCUCGAUUAUCUUCUGAAGUUUCAGAGCUAUAAAUCUCAGAUCUUGUAGUAGCUCCGUGGACAUCAGGAAUUCAUCAGCACAGUGCUGGGACCAGGGAGUCAGCAAUCAGGGGAUUCACGGUCUCUACAAAAGUUAAAAGCAACAAUAACUUGAAGUAUCAUCCUGCAUUGAAAAUUCCAGACGUUAUUUGUGGUAAAAUAUGCCUACCUGGGGGAAAGAAUUGCUGAUCUAAAACAAAUUCUAAACAAUUACUGUGAUUACUGUUGAGUUUUAAUAGCAUAAUACUUAGGUAAAUGUCAAAUUAGCACAUUUUUAUUACCCAUCCUUUAGUAAAGAUUUUAUUUACAUGAGUCGGUCAAUUAUACAGUCAGCCAUGGACAUAACAUACAUGGACUUAGCUAUGUGCACUGAUGUCUAGAGUAAGAUCAUUAGGGUUCAGAAUUUUUGAGCUACUUUGUGUGCAAUUGGAGUCUCUGACUUUUGCAUUUGAACAGUGGUUUGGAGCCAGGAGAAAUGAUUACAAACUGAUUAUAAAGCUGAAAAACCAGAAUUUAAAUUACUUCAAUCUUGUCAUUUAUGCAUAAAUCAUUCUCUGAAACUUGCAGAAUCCAUUCUUCUGUAUUUUUUCCAAAAUAUACAUUAAUUCUAUUUAAAAGAAUUAAUCUAUUUCUUGUUUGCUUUUUUGCUCUUUGUUAUUAUUAUUUGUUGGCAUG
This 2343-nucleotide long non-coding RNA is filed under the name Homo sapiens (human). Its description in RNAcentral is "HSALNT0265528". The record is from RNAcentral. Lineage: Eukaryota; Metazoa; Chordata; Mammalia; Primates; Hominidae.